RNAcentral lists this ribosomal RNA (402 nucleotides) under uncultured prokaryote. RNAcentral describes it as "bacterial SSU rRNA". It matches the Rfam family "Bacterial small subunit ribosomal RNA", at positions 355 to 774 of the family's 1533-position model. The record is from RNAcentral.
UAGGGAAUAUUAGAAAUGGACGAAAGUCUGAUCUCGCCACACCGCGUGUGCGAAGAAGGCCUUCGGGUCGUAAAGCCCUUUUUGGAAGGAAUAGGAAGGAAUGUACUUCCAGAAUAAGUCUCGGCUAACUACGUGCCAGCAGCCGCGGUAACACGUAGGAGGCGAACGUUAUCCGGAUUUACUGGGCGUAAAGCGCGUGUAGGUGGUUCUGUAAGUAGGGCGUGAAAGCUCCCGGCUCAACUGGGAGACGGCGUUCUAAACUACAGAACUAGAGGGUGGUAGAGGGAGGUGGAAUUCCAGGUGUAGCGGUGGAAUGCGCAGAUAUCUGGAGGAACACCAGUGGCGAAGGCGGCCUCCUGGACCAUUCCUGACACUCAGGCGCGAAAGCUAGGGUAGCAAACG